This 492-nucleotide ribosomal RNA is filed under the name uncultured bacterium. Its description in RNAcentral is "partial 16S ribosomal RNA". It matches the Rfam family "Bacterial small subunit ribosomal RNA", at positions 29 to 507 of the family's 1533-position model. The record is from RNAcentral.
AGUGAACGCUGGCGGUAGGCCUAACACAUGCAAGUCGAACGGCAGCACAGUAAGAGCUUGCUCUUACGGGUGGCGAGUGGCGGACGGGUGAGGAAUACAUCGGAAUCUACUUUUUCGUGGGGGAUAACGUAGGGAAACUUACGCUAAUACCGCAUACGACCUACGGGGGAAAGCAGGGGAUCUUCGGACCUUGCGCGAUUGAAUGCGCCGAUGUCGGUUUAGCUAGUUGGCGGGGUAAAGGCCCACCAAGGCGACGAUCCGUAGCUGGUCUGAGAGGAUGGUCAGCCACACUGGAGCUGGGACACGGUCCAGACUCCUACGGGAGGCAGCAGUGGGGAAUAGGGGACAGUGGGCGCAAGCCUGGCCCAGCCAGACCGAGUGGGUGAAGAAGGCCUUCGGGUUGUAAAGCCCUUUUGUUGGGAAAGAACAGCAGCCGGUUAAGACCACGCUGUUCUGACGGUACCCAAAGAAUAAGCACCGGCUAACUUCGUG